Long non-coding RNA from Microtus oregoni (creeping vole), 333 nucleotides. RefSeq lists it as uncharacterized. The record is from RefSeq and is a predicted model, not a curated record. Lineage: Eukaryota; Metazoa; Chordata; Mammalia; Rodentia; Cricetidae. The transcript has 3 exons.
GCGGGAGGGCAGAGUCUGUAGACGAGUUCGUUAGGCGUCUUGCGGAGCCCGUGGUCCCGAAGUCAGGCGCUGCAGGCUGAACCCUGAGAUGCACUCCCGUGGAGGGUACAACACAGAAGAGAAAAGAUGGCCGUUGUAUGUUUAGAAGAGAAGUUUGAGACUUACAGUACAAUGAGAAAACUGGAACCCACUUAGACCUCAUCGCUUAAUUCUGUGCUGUGUGUCUACGUCAGAAGCCUCCGUCUUUGGCUUGGCAGUGCCCGUUACGGAGUCUCCUUUCGUAUCGUUCCCUCCAUUGAGGAGCCGUGUUGUUCGUUUCUGAAGUCAGCCAUG